AGGUGAUAUGAACCGUUAUAACCGGCGAUUUCCGAAUGGGGAAACCCAGUGUGACUCGUCACACUAUCAUUAACUGAAUCCAUAGGUUAAUGAGGCGAACCGGGGGAACUGAAACAUCUAAGUACCCCGAGGAAAAGAAAUCAACCGAGAUUCCCCCAGUAGCGGCGAGCGAACGGGGAGGAGCCCAGAGCCUGAAUCAGCAUGUGUGUUAGUGGAAGCGUCUGGAAAGGCGCGCGAUACAGGGUGACA
Molecule: ribosomal RNA, 249 nt
Filed under: Salmonella enterica subsp. enterica serovar Give
Lineage: Bacteria; Pseudomonadati; Pseudomonadota; Gammaproteobacteria; Enterobacterales; Enterobacteriaceae
Description: partial 23S ribosomal RNA
Rfam family: Bacterial large subunit ribosomal RNA
Source: RNAcentral